CCUACGGGCCGCACCAGUGGGGAAUAUUGGACAAUGGGCGCAAGCCUGAUCCAGCCAUGCCGCGUGAGUGAAGAAGGCCUUAGGGUUGUAAAGCUCUUUCACCGGUGAAGAUAAUGACGGUAACCGGAGAAGAAGCCCCGGCUAACUUCGUGCCAGCAGCCGCGGUAAUACGAAGGGGGCUAGCGUUGUUCGGAAUUACUGGGCGUAAAGCGCGCGUAGGCGGAUAGAUAAGUCAGAGGUGAAAUCCCGGGGCUCAACCCCGGAAUUGCCUUUGAUACUGUUUAUCUUGAGUGCAGAAGAGGUAAGUGGAAUUCCGAGUGUAGAGGUGAAAUUCGUAGAUAUUCGGAGGAACACCAGUGGCGAAGGCGGCUUACUGGUCUGCAACUGACGCUGAGGCGCGAAAGCGUGGGGAGCAAACAGGAUUAGAUACCCCAG
This 435-nucleotide ribosomal RNA is filed under the name uncultured bacterium. RNAcentral's name for it is "bacterial SSU rRNA". It matches the Rfam family "Bacterial small subunit ribosomal RNA", at positions 338 to 790 of the family's 1533-position model. The record is from RNAcentral.